Molecule: ribosomal RNA, 500 nt
Filed under: uncultured bacterium
Lineage: Bacteria
Description: bacterial SSU rRNA
Rfam family: Bacterial small subunit ribosomal RNA
Source: RNAcentral
AGUAGCUUGCUACUUUGCUGACGAUCGGCGGACGGGUGAGUAAUGCUUGGGAACAUGCCUUGAGGUGGGGGACAACAGUUGGAAACGACUGCUAAUACCGCAUAAUGUCUACGGACCAAAGGGGGCUUCGGCUCUCGCCUUUAGAUUGGCCCAAGUGGGAUUAGCUAGUUGGUGAGGUAAUGGCUCACCAAGGCGACGAUCCCUAGCUGGUUUGAGAGGAUGAUCAGCCACACUGGGACUGAGACACGGCCCAGACUCCUACGGGAGGCAGCAGUGGGGAAUAUUGCACAAUGGGCGCAAGCCUGAUGCAGCCAUGCCGCGUGUGUGAAGAAGGCCUUCGGGUUGUAAAGCACUUUCAGUCAGGAGGAAAGGUUAGUAGUUAAUACCUGCUAGCUGUGACGUUACUGACAGAAGAAGCACCGGCUAACUCCGUGCCAGCAGCCGCGGUAAUACGGAGGGUGCGAGCGUUAAUCGGAAUUACUGGGCGUAAAGCGUACGCA